This 421-nucleotide ribosomal RNA is filed under the name uncultured archaeon. RNAcentral describes it as "partial 16S ribosomal RNA". It matches the Rfam family "Archaeal small subunit ribosomal RNA", at positions 323 to 746 of the family's 1478-position model. The record is from RNAcentral.
CUACGGGGGGCUGCAGUCGAGGAAAUUCUACAAUGCUCGAAAGAGUGAUAGAAUGAGUCAGAGUGUUUCUCUUAGAGAAACUUUUUUCUGUUGUAAAAAGACAGAAGAAUAAGGACUGGGAAAGACCGGUGCCAGCCGCCGCAGUAAUACCGGCGGUCCAAGUCGCACCCACAUUUAUUGGGUCUAAAACAUCCGUAGCUUGUUUUAUAAGUCUCUUGUGAAAUCUGAUAUCUUAAAUGUUAGGCGUGCAAGAGAUACUAUAUUACUAGAGACCGGAAGGCGCAAAGAGUAUGGUUAAGGUAACGGUAAAAUGUGUUAAUCUUAAUUAGACUAACGAUUAGCGAAGGCACUUUGCGAGUACGGAUCUGACAGUGAGGGAUGAAGGCUAGGGGCGCAAAAGGGAUUAGAUACCCUUGUAGUC